GGUCCAGUGGAGGCUGGGGUGUGUGUCCUGAGAGGUGACCUAGGAGCAUAGAAAUCCCCUCUGCUGUGCGUUGGGGAUCCAGGACAGCCUCUCUGUGCCAGGAUCACAGCGUCGGCAGGGCUGCCUCUGGAAGGGGCAGGGAGAAUCCACGGUCUGGCCCAGGCAGCUGCGAGCCUCUGCGCUCUCCCCACCCCAGAACUGUGGCGGUGACUUUCUUGCCGUCUCUCAUCACUCUGCCUCCCUCUUGCACCACAAAGACCUUGUGAUUAUGUGGGCCCAGCUGGAUCUGUGUCAGCUCACAUGCAGGUUGGUUCUCUGUACAGGGGAGCCAGCCCCCCCAACAGCCCUGGAGCACAGGGGAACCAGCAUCCCACAGCCCUGGGUCACAGGGGAGCCAGCCCCCCACGGCCCUGGGUCCCAGCCUCCCCACAGACUGGGAGUUGGGGAUGUCCUGGGGGCAUGCGUUCUAUGCUGCAGCGGCUCAGGAGCAGUCCCUAAAUAAAUCCCUGUCUUCCCCACAAAGUCGGUAGAAAUGCAGCCGAUGCUCCAGGACCAGCAGUGCUAAUGGCCAACAAAAUUAAAAUCUCCUUGACAGAUCCAGACAUGAAGUCUUAUGCUUUGUACCACUGCAUAAAUUCACUUUGUCAGCACAGAUACGGGCUUGAGCAAGAAUAUCAAUUUAAGGAAACUAAAUUAGGAC
RNAcentral lists this long non-coding RNA (700 nucleotides) under Marmota monax (woodchuck). The record is from RNAcentral. Lineage: Eukaryota; Metazoa; Chordata; Mammalia; Rodentia; Sciuridae.